UCAAAGGUUUGGUCCUGACUUUACUAUCAACUGUAGCUAAAUUUACACAUGCAAGUAUCCGCACCCCCGUGAGAAUGUCCUGACAGUUCCCUGCUCGGGAACAAGGAGCUGGUAUCAGGCACAACCUACUAAAGCCCAUGACACCUUGUUCAAGCCACGCCCUCAAGGGUAUUCAGCAGUGAUCGACUUUAAGCCAUAAGUGAAAACUUGACUUAGUUAAGGCUAGAAGGGCCGGUAAAACUCGUGCCAGCCACCGCGGUUAGACGAGCGACCCAAGUUGAUAAACAUCGGCGUAAAGCGUGGUUAAGACCAAAUUAAGAACUAAAGCCGAACUACCUCAAUGCAGUUAUACGUGACCAUCGAGACCUAGAAGUACAAUUACGAAGGUGGCUUUAUAAAUCUGAACCCACGAAAGCUAAGGAACAAACUGGGAUUAGAUACCCCACUAUGCUUAGCCCUAAACAUUGACAGUUAACCACACCCACUGUCCGCCUGGAAAUUACGAGCAUUAGCUUAAAACUCAAAGGACUUGGCGGUGCUUUAGACCCACCUAGAGGAGCCUGUCCUAGAACCGAUAACCCCCGUUCAACCUCACCUUUCCUUGUUUCCCCCGCCUAUAUACCACCGUCGUCAGCUUACCUUGUGAAGGACUAAUAGUAAGCAAGAUUGGCACAGCCCAAAACGCCAGGUCGCGGUGUAGCGUAUGGAAAGGGAAGAGAUGGGCUACAUUCACUAUCACAGUGAACACGGAUGAUACACUGAAACGUGUAUACUGAAGGAGGAUUUAGCAGUAAGCAGGAAAUAGAGUGUCCCGCUGAAAUUGGCCCUGAAGCGCGCACAUACCGCCCGUCACUCUCCCCGAGCUCAGUGAACCUAAAAUUAAUUAAAACCACAUAGCUUGCAAUGAGGGGAGACAAGUCGUAACAUGGUAAGCGUACCGGAAGGUGCGCUUGGAAAAAC
RNAcentral lists this non-coding RNA (960 nucleotides) under Parapristipoma trilineatum (chicken grunt). RNAcentral's name for it is "12S rRNA". It matches the Rfam family "Bacterial small subunit ribosomal RNA". The record is from RNAcentral. Lineage: Eukaryota; Metazoa; Chordata; Actinopteri; Lutjaniformes; Haemulidae.